GAUAAAUAUUCAUACAAAGGAACGUAUAUUACGGAAGACUUCCUUAUAGACCACAUUUGAAGUGUUAGUCGUAUCUAACGUCGAGGUUGAGGUUAAAAUGGUUGAAGCUAAAACAUAUCAUCAACUACAUGCCAUAUUGUUGGUCAUGCAAGUUAAAGUUUGGCAUUAUUUACAUCUAACGCUAAGUAAAAAUAUUAUUAGCCAACUAUAAAAAGACAGAUGCUAAAGACAGCUAGCGUCGAUCUAUCCAACGCUAAAGCAAAUCUAAAAAGUCAUGUACAUUACCUAGCGGUUGGUCCAUCCAACAAUAAAACUGGAGAAUGAAAAAUUAUUAUUAAUAACAGUGAUUUUGAACUAUAUAAUUACUGCCAAUGCAACAUAUUUUACAUCAUUUUAUUUGUGUUAGGACAUUAUAGAAUACACAAGUGUUAUGUGAUUAUUGAUUUGUCCUGCGUUGUUCUUCUUUCCCUAUCAUAGAAAUCAAGGUCAAAAUAUUAUAAACCAAAUAUAAGAAAAAAUAAUAAAAGUAACAAAAGUGACAUUCAAAUAAAAUCAUGGACUUUAAAAAACAAGAUCAUAAUUUUUCAACUUACAUGUUAAGUGCAGUGACAAUUAUAAUUAGAGCACUUGGCAAGUUUAGGAGGAUAGCACAAAUAAUUUGGACAAUCAUUGUCAGUCCUGCACUUCUUAAAUUCUGUUAUGUGAAAAAUGUAUAAGAGAAUAUAUUAAUAAAAUUUGAUGACAUAUUUAUUAAAAAAAAAGGGUAGAAAAAGGAAAAUUAUUAUUAAUAAUAGUUGCACUAAUAAAUAUUUUAUUUUAUAAAUAUUUCAAGUUGAAUUCAAAUUUUUUUCUCUUGAUGUUACAAACUCAAACUUUUAUUAAUACCUCUUAAAAAUUAUGAAAUAUUGUGUAUAAGAUAAAUAAUUUUCUUUGAAAAGGAAUAGAAAAGGAGCUUACCACCGUAGCUGAUUACCAAAUGAAGUAGUGAAAGAAAGAGGAUCAUCGCACAAACAAACUUCUGAAUUUCAGCCAUAUUAAUAUUUCCUCCUUUGUAUGGCUGAAAUUUGACCAAUUUAUUUAUAAUGUAAAAAACAUCAUACUCUAUAUAUUACUUCAAUUUAAAAUAUUAAAAUUAUUACUUGUUACAAAAUAUCUUUUGUAAAAUUGUAUAUUUUUUUUUUAACAAGAAAUUAUAAUUAUUAUUAAAUGUCUCAUAAACACUUCUUCAGGUUGUCAACUCAUCAUAAUAUCUGGCAGCGGAAUGUCAUUACAGAUGUUGGUGCAUCUAUGUGUGUCCAGUGGGUUAGGGAGCGGAUCAACUUAUUACUUUAUCGUUUAUUGUAAUCAAAUAUCUCCUAUCUGGCAUGCUACUCUUCGGUGGUUGGAUGUUGAUGAGUGGGUGUCCCCUCGUGGUAAUCAAGGGUUGUUUGAGGUUUUCCUGGGUAUAGGGGGUAAGAAAAGUUGUGUGGUUGUUAAUUUGGCAAAUGCUAAUUAAAUAGAUUUGAGAGGUUGUUAAUUUGGUAAACUAUUAUGUGGACUAUCUAGAACUCGUGAAAUGAUGUACUCUUUUUAGAAGGUACUUUUUAUGUUGAGUGUUUGAUCGAUAGAGUGAAACUUUUAUCUUGGAAAUUAAAUGGUUUCUAGGUAAAAAUUAUGGCAUCACGCGUGUUCCUUUCAUAAGUGGAAUAUGCACCCUAUUUUUUGUUGGAACUAGGUCUUCGCGAGGUCUUUUGGUGGUUGAUCCUUGUCUCUAUCUGGUCUAAGGGGUUUUGGAUCUUCUUGUAGUCGGAAGUUAAAGGUGUUAAUUUGCUAUUGGUGUGUCCAUUUGUUUACAUGGGUUAUAAUUAACAAAAAUGUUAUUCAAACACAAAUAUCAAACACAUAUACAACAUUUAUAUACUUUUUGCAAUAUUUUUUGCAUGUUUCGAAUUGCAUGUUAUGAGGGAAGAGAGAGAAUGUGUAGUAUUUUUAUCUAUAAAUUUGUGUUGAUAUAUCACUCCUCUAUAAUUAAUUAGGUAUUAUAGUGGAGAGUA
This 2033-nucleotide long non-coding RNA is filed under the name Trifolium pratense (red clover). RNAcentral's name for it is "long non-coding RNA (TPRA_LNC010292)". The record is from RNAcentral. Lineage: Eukaryota; Viridiplantae; Streptophyta; Magnoliopsida; Fabales; Fabaceae.